UUUCGGUGUGUCCUUCAAAUGAUCUGAACCCCCUUAUUUAUAGCCGCGGACGUCAAAAUUUAUUAAAUGGAGUUGAGCGGUCCGGACGUCAAGCUGGAAUUCAAUAUGGUUAAGCGGUCUUUGGUCAAUUCUUUGUGGGUCCCAGUGGGUCCUUAUGUUUGCCACUUUGUCUGCCAUAAUUGAAUGCUGUGUGGGUCCCGGUGUCUGCCACUUUGUCUGCCAUAAUUGUGUGGGUCCCGGUGUCUGCCACUUUGUCGGCCAUUUGUCUGGUAAGUGUAUCAUGACGUCAUUGCUUACAUCAGUGGUUUUG
Molecule: long non-coding RNA, 310 nt
Filed under: Manihot esculenta (cassava)
Lineage: Eukaryota; Viridiplantae; Streptophyta; Magnoliopsida; Malpighiales; Euphorbiaceae
Description: long non-coding RNA (MESC_LNC011557)
Source: RNAcentral